This 433-nucleotide ribosomal RNA is filed under the name uncultured bacterium. Its description in RNAcentral is "partial 16S ribosomal RNA". It matches the Rfam family "Bacterial small subunit ribosomal RNA", at positions 29 to 507 of the family's 1533-position model. The record is from RNAcentral.
AACGAACGCUGGCGGCAUGCCUAACACAUGCCAGUCGAACGAGACCUUCGGGUCUAGUGGCGCACGGGUGCGUAACGCGUGGGAACCUGCCCUUAGGUUCGGAAUAACUCCCCGAAAGGGGUGCUAAUACCGGAUAAUGUCUUCGGACCAAAGAUUUAUCGCCUUUGGAUGGGCCCGCGUUGGAUUAGCUAGUUGGUAGGGUAAAAGCCUACCAAGGCGACGAUCCAUAGCUGGUCUGAGAGGAUGAUCAGCCACACUGGGACUGAGACACGGCCCUGACUCCUACGGGAGGCAGCAGUGGGGAAUAUUGGACAAUGGGCGAAAGCCUGAUCCAGCAAUGCCGCGUGAGUGAUGAAGGCCUUAGGGUUGUAAAGCUCUUUUAACCGGGAUGAUAAUGACAGUACCGGGAGAAUAAGCACCGGCUAACUCCGUG